This 477-nucleotide ribosomal RNA is filed under the name uncultured anaerobic ammonium-oxidizing bacterium. Its description in RNAcentral is "bacterial SSU rRNA". It matches the Rfam family "Bacterial small subunit ribosomal RNA", at positions 365 to 832 of the family's 1533-position model. The record is from RNAcentral.
UUCGCAAUGCCCGAAAGGGUGACGAUGCGACGCCGCGUGAGCGAAGAAGGCCCUAGGGUUGUAAAGCUCUGUCGAGGGUUAUGAAAUAUAGAUGGAUUAAUACCCCAUUUAUUUGACAAAAGCCCAAAAGGAAGCCACGGCUAACUCUGUGCCAGCAGCCGCGGUAAUACAGAGGUGGCGAGCGUUGUUCGGUAUUAUUGGGCGUAAAGAGCACGUAGGCGGCCUUGCAAGUCAGUUGUGAAAGCCUUCCGCUUAACGGAAGAACGGCAUCUGAUACUACAGGGCUUGAGUACGGGAGGGGAGAGUGGAACUUCUGGUGGAGCGGUGAAAUGCGUAGAUAUCAGAAGGAACGCCGGCGGCGAAAGCGACUCUCUGGCUCGAAACUGACGCUGAGUGUGCGAAAGCUAGGGGAGCAAACGGGAUUAGAUACCCCGGUAGUCCUAGCCGUAAACGAUGGGCACUAAGUAGAGGGGUUUU